This 337-nucleotide unclassified non-coding RNA is filed under the name soil metagenome. RNAcentral describes it as "partial contains 5.8S ribosomal RNA, internal transcribed spacer 2, and large subunit ribosomal RNA". The stretch from base 1 to 120 matches the Rfam family "5.8S ribosomal RNA", at positions 35 to 154 of the family's 154-position model. The record is from RNAcentral.
GAUGAAGAACGCAGCGAAAUGCGAUACGUAAUGUGAAUUGCAGAAUUCAGUGAAUCAUCGAAUCUUUGAACGCACAUUGCGCCCCUUGGUAUUCCAUGGGGCAUGCCUGUUCGAGCGUCAUUUGUACCCUCAAGCUUUGCUUGGUGUUGGGUGUUUGUCCCGCGUUGCGCGUGGACUCGCCUUAAAGCGAUUGGCAGCCGGCAUAUUGGCCUUGGAGCGCAGCACAUUUUGCGCUUCUAGUCAUGAAUGUUGGCGUCCAUUAAGCCUAUACAUUUGCUCUUGACCUCGGAUCAGGUAGGGAUACCCGCUGAACUUAAGCAUAUCAAUAAGCGGAGGA